This 229-nucleotide ribosomal RNA is filed under the name uncultured bacterium. RNAcentral describes it as "partial 16S ribosomal RNA". It matches the Rfam family "Bacterial small subunit ribosomal RNA", at positions 524 to 752 of the family's 1533-position model. The record is from RNAcentral.
UACGAAGGGGGCUAGCGUUGCUCGGAAUCACUGGGCGUAAAGGGUGCGUAGGCGGGUCUUAAGUCAGGGGUGAAAUCCUGGAGCUCAACUCCAGAACUGCCUCUGAUACUGAGGAUCUUGAGUUCGGGAGAGGUGAGUGGAACUGCGAGUGUAGAGGUGAAAUUCGUAGAUAUUCGCAAGAACACCAGUGGCGAAGGCGGCUCACUGGGCCCGAUACUGACGCUGAGGC